GCCUACGGGGGGCAGCAGUGGGGGAUAUUGCACAAUGGGGGAAACCCUGAUGCAGCGACGCCGCGUGUGGGAAGACGGUCCUCUGGAUUGUAAACCACUGUCCCCAGGGACGAAGAUGACGGUACCUGGGGAGGAAGCUCCGGCUAACUACGUGCCAGCAGCCGCGGUAAUACGUAGGAUGCGAGCGUUAUCCGGAUUUAUUGGGUUUAAAGGGUGCGCAGGCGGCACGGCAAGCCGGCGGUCAAAUCGCGGGGCUCAACCCCGCCCAGCCGUCGGAACUGCCGGGCUAGAGUGGGCGAGAAGUG
Molecule: ribosomal RNA, 305 nt
Filed under: uncultured bacterium
Lineage: Bacteria
Description: bacterial SSU rRNA
Rfam family: Bacterial small subunit ribosomal RNA
Source: RNAcentral